CAGAAAAUGUCUUCAAAAUUUAAAAAUACGAAACGCAUCGAGGGACUUGAUAGCAAUGUAUGGACUGAAUUUACCAAGUUGGCUGCAGAUCCCUCUGUGGUAAAUCUUGGCCAGGGCCUUCCAGAUAUCUCUCCUCCAACAUACGUAAAAGAAGCGUUAUCAAAGAUUGCAUUUGUUGAUAACCUGAAUCAGUACACGCGGGGCUUUGGACAUCCGUCACUUGUGAAAGCCCUGUCCUGCCUUUAUGAAAAAUUUUUUCCCAAUCAAAUCGACCCAAAUAAAGAAAUCCUUGUGACAGUAGGAGCAUAUGGAUCUCUCUUUAAUGCCAUUCAAGGGCUAGUUGAUGAAGGAGAUGAGG
Long non-coding RNA from Octodon degus (degu), 358 nucleotides. RefSeq lists it as uncharacterized. The record is from RefSeq and is a predicted model, not a curated record. NCBI's taxonomy places the organism in Eukaryota, Metazoa, Chordata, Mammalia, Rodentia, Octodontidae. The transcript is spliced from 3 exons.